This 389-nucleotide ribosomal RNA is filed under the name uncultured bacterium. Its description in RNAcentral is "bacterial SSU rRNA". It matches the Rfam family "Bacterial small subunit ribosomal RNA", at positions 28 to 417 of the family's 1533-position model. The record is from RNAcentral.
GACGAACGCUGGCGGCGUGCUUAACACAUGCAAGUCGAGCGGUAAGGCCCUUUCGGGGGUACGACGAGCGGCGAACGGGUGAGUAACACGUGGGUGACCUGCCUUUAGCUCUGGGAUAAGCCUGGGAAACUGGGUCUAAUACCGGAUAUGACUCCAUGAUGCAUGUUGUGGGGUGGAAAGCCUUGUGCGGCUGGAGAUGGGCCCGCGGCCUAUCAGCUUGUUGGUGGGGUGAUGGCCUACCAAGGCGACGACGGGUAGCCGGCCUGAGAGGGCGACCGGCCACACUGGGACUGAGACACGGCCCAGACUCCUACGGGAGGCAGCAGUGGGGAAUCUUGCGCAAUGGGCGAAAGCCUGACGCAGCGACGCCGCGUGAGGGAUGACGGCCU